This 1452-nucleotide ribosomal RNA is filed under the name uncultured bacterium. RNAcentral's name for it is "bacterial SSU rRNA". It matches the Rfam family "Bacterial small subunit ribosomal RNA". The record is from RNAcentral.
GAUGAACGCUGGCGGCGUGCCUAAUACAUGCAAGUCGAACGGAAGAGAUAAGCUUGCUUAUCGAAUCAGUGGCGAACGGGUGAGUAAGACAUAAAUAAUCUACCCCUAAGCCUGGGAUAACUAGAGGAAACUUUAGCUAAUACCGGAUAGUUAAGAAUAAGGCAUCUUAAUUUUAUUAAAGAUGGGAAACAUCACUAAGGGAUGAGUUUAUGGCGCAUUAGCUAGUUGGUGAGAUAAAAGCCCACCAAGGCGAUGAUGCGUAGCCGAUCUGAGAGGAUGACCGGCCACAUUGGGACUGAGACACGGCCCAGACUCCUACGGGAGGCAGCAGUAGGGAAUUUUCGGCAAUGGGGGGAACCCUGACCGAGCAACGCCGCGUGAACGAGGAAGGUCUUUGGAUCGCAGAGUUCUGUUGUAAGGGAAUAAACGAUCAUAUAGGGAAUGAUAUGAUUUUGACGGUACCUUACCAGAAAGCCACGGCUAACUACGUGCCAGCAGCCGCGGUAAUACGUAGGUGGCGAGCGUUAUCCGGAAUUAUUGGGCGUAAAGGGUGCGUAGGCGGCUUAAUAAGUUUGUGGUGAAAUCGUGGGGCUCAACUCCAUCAAGCCACAAAAACUGUCAAGCUAGAGAACAGUAGAGGCAAGUGGAAUUCCAUGUGUAGCGGUAAAAUGCGUAGAUAUAUGGAGGAACACCAGUGGCGAAGGCGGCUUGCUGGACUGUGACUGACGCUGAGGCACGAAAGCGUGGGGAGCAAAUAGGAUUAGAUACCCUAGUAGUCCACGCCGUAAACGAUGAAUACUAAGUGUUGGAGAAAUUCAGUGCUGCAGUUAACGCAAUAAGUAUUCCGCCUGGGGAGUACGCACGCAAGUGUGAAACUCAAAGGAAUUGACGGGGACCCGCACAAGCGGUGGAUUAUGUGGUUUAAUUCGAUGCAACGCGAAGAACCUUACCAAGCCUUGACAUCUUCGGCGAAGCUCUAGAGAUAGAGUGGAGGUUAUCCGAAAGACAGGUGGUGCAUGGUUGUCGUCAGCUCGUGUCGUGAGAUGUUGGGUUAAGUCCCGCAACGAGCGCAACCCUUGUCUUUAGUUACCAUCAUUAAGUUGGGGACUCUAGAGAGACUGCCGGUGACAAACCGGAGGAAGGUGGGGAUGACGUCAAAUCAGCAUGCCCCUUAUGGCUUGGGCUACACACGUAAUACAAUGGCGUAUACAAAGGGAAGCAAACCUGCGAAGGAGAGCGAAUCUCAGAAAGUACGUCUCAGUUCGGAUUAGAGUCUGCAACUCGACUCUAUGAAGUCGGAAUCGCUAGUAAUCGUGGAUCAGCAUGCCACGGUGAAUACGUUCCCGGGUCUUGUACACACCGCCCGUCAAACCAUGAGAGUUGGCAAUGCCCGAAGCCGGUGGCCUAACCGCAAGGAGGGAGCCGUCGAAGGCAGGGCUGAUGAUUGGGGUU